RNAcentral lists this ribosomal RNA (310 nucleotides) under uncultured bacterium. RNAcentral describes it as "bacterial SSU rRNA". It matches the Rfam family "Bacterial small subunit ribosomal RNA", at positions 29 to 334 of the family's 1533-position model. The record is from RNAcentral.
AAUGAACGUUGGCGGCGUGCUUAACACAUGCAAGUCGAGCGAGAAAAUCCCUUCGGGGAUGAGUAAAGCGGCGGACGGGUGAGUAAUACAUAAGAAUCUACCCCUUAGUGGAGAAUACCUUUGAGAAAUCAAAGUUAAUACUACAUAAGUCCUAGCUGAAAAAGCUAGGAGAAAGAUGGCCUCUUUGCUAUCGCUGAAGGAUGAGCUUAUGUCCUAUUAGUUUGUUGGUGAGGUAAAAGCUCACCAAGACGAUGAUGGGUAGCCGGCCUGAGAGAGUGUACGGCCACACUGGAACUGAGACACGGUCCAG